Long non-coding RNA from Tympanuchus pallidicinctus (lesser prairie-chicken), 378 nucleotides. RefSeq lists it as uncharacterized. The transcript is spliced from 3 exons. The record is from RefSeq and is a predicted model, not a curated record. NCBI's taxonomy places the organism in Eukaryota, Metazoa, Chordata, Aves, Galliformes, Phasianidae.
AUUCCUUCUCAGACCUCAUUUAAGGGUUGGUUGUGGAGGCAAGAGCUUCUCAUUUGGCAAUCUCUGUCUACCUGAGGACUUUACAGGCUUUCUGAAGAUGGCGCCAGAGGGGAGUCUGCAAAAUGGUGUCUGGUAUGGAAGUGCAUAUGAUGCAAGGGAGUGGGAAUGUGUUCCUUCAUGAGAUCCUUGUGCUGACUGGACAGUAUGAGAAACUGAAAAACUGAAACAUCCUUGACUUUGUGCAGCGUUGCUCAGCAACAACUGAAACAUUGGUGUGUUAUCAACAUUGAUGUUCUUCUAAAGUCUAAACAUGGCAUAUCAGCCACUGUGAAGAAAAUCAGCUUUGUCCGGGCUAAAACCAGGACAGUAGUCUAAUAG